RNAcentral lists this ribosomal RNA (253 nucleotides) under uncultured bacterium. RNAcentral's name for it is "partial 16S ribosomal RNA". It matches the Rfam family "Bacterial small subunit ribosomal RNA", at positions 524 to 776 of the family's 1533-position model. The record is from RNAcentral.
UACGGGGGGGGCAAGCGUUGUUCGGAAUUACUGGGCGUAAAGGGCUCGUAGGCGGCCAACUAAGUCAGACGUGAAAUCCCUCGGCUUAACCGGGGAACUGCGUCUGAUACUGGAUGGCUAGAGGUUGGGAGAGGGAUGCGGAAUUCCAGGUGUAGCGGUGAAAUGCGUAGAUAUCUGGAGGAACACCGGUGGCGAAGGCGGCGACCUGGGUAGAUACUGACGCUGAGGCGCGAAAGCGUGGGGAGCAAACAGG